Triticum aestivum (bread wheat) is the source of this 1340-nucleotide long non-coding RNA. RefSeq lists it as uncharacterized. The record is from RefSeq and is a predicted model, not a curated record. The transcript is spliced from 6 exons. Lineage: Eukaryota; Viridiplantae; Streptophyta; Magnoliopsida; Poales; Poaceae.
CUCUCUGCCACUGCGCCUGUCUUCCAAAAUCUGGCGGCGCACACAACCAAUUCGCCGCCGGCCUAUGACUCCACGCACCACUGCCAGGCCCCCACCUCUCCACCCGCCCUCCUUCCAUCUCCUCUCCGCAUGGCCGAUCUGUGAACAGAGCAAGCAUCAAUGGAGUAGGUUCCUCCUAAUCUCUCCACUCACCUCUCUCCUUUGGAUCAAGCUCCCUCCACCUGGAGGAAGGGCUGAAGCCGGGUCGAUUCCGUCAUGCGUUAGAGCUUAGAGUCGUCACCGCCGUGGCGCGUCACCGGGCCACGCGCCGAGAGAGCAGCGCGGUUACUGGCUGCAUGUUGGAGCCUUGGAGGUUGCUGGCUCGCAGCAGGCUGGGGCUGCUGGACAUGGAGAUCAGAUGGAGCAUAAGUCAGCGAGUACUUCAAUCUCAAGUUCGAGCUCCCCAUCCAGCCCCAUGUCUUCGUCUUCACAUGAAUCAGUCUUCUACUAUAUUUAGAGGUGGAUGCAAAUUUCUGCACAAUCUUCGGCUUUCUUGAUGUUGCACUGAUUAUGUAAUCUGCGUAUGGGUUGAUAAUGAGUUAUAAAGCUCGGGUUGUCUAAACCUGAAAAUUUAGUGAGGUGUGAAUGUACAGUUCACUAUUAUACUUCAACAUGAUCAGGAUGCUUUAAUCAAAAGGAUUGGUUUAGUCAACCCAUAAGAUUGAUUCAUUACCUUGGAGUUCCAGAGCGAUUUUGUGUAGCAUGUUCUUCAGCUGAGCGACUACUUCGUCGGCUAAACACCCGGCUCCUGCUGCAAAGAUGUCCACUGUCCAAGACCCGUGCGUAUCAUUAUUCUCCCUGUCUGUGCCGCGCAACAGCAGUUUCCUGUAGCCCUGCCUCCAUCAGCUUCUCCCUCUUCCUUGCAAUCGUGGGUACAGGACAUCGGCAACAGCAAUAUCUGCACUCACUAUACAGUUGGCAAAACCGAAUUUCAGCUCGGAUCAAAGCUUCUACUUUAUGGUUGCGCAUUCUAAAAAUUUAGUGAUUUUGCCCACUAAAGAUAUAACAUAUCUGCUACUAUUAAUAGCACGUGAUCCGUUUUUCUUCAUUUAUGCUAACCAUCAGAACUAAUAAAAUGCUUGAUGAUAUUAGCGGAUCUCUUUAUAACCGUAUAUGUCUGGUUGUUCCAAGAUAAUUGUUAGCUGUCAUAUUAUAUCAACUGAUUAUCUUGCUGAUGCUGAUCCGCUCUAUCCAUCGGAAUUCUUACAUUCUGUAGUCGUUAAAAAUUUUGCACAUCAUGAAAUUGGUUUGGAAGUUAAAAAAUUAUUGACGUAUAUAAUAAAGGACAGUGUGUUUGUAUU